Molecule: ribosomal RNA, 588 nt
Filed under: uncultured bacterium
Lineage: Bacteria
Description: bacterial SSU rRNA
Rfam family: Bacterial small subunit ribosomal RNA
Source: RNAcentral
UCCUACGGGAGGCAGCAGUGGGGAAUAUUGGACAAUGGGGGGAACCCUGAUCCAGCCAUGCCGCGUGUGUGAAGAAGGCCUUAUGGUUGUAAAGCACUUUAAGCGAGGAGGAGGCUUACCUAGUUAAUACCUAGGCUAAGUGGACGUUACUCGCAGAAUAAGCACCGGCUAACUCUGUGCCAGCAGCCGCGGUAAUACAGAAGGUGCGAGCGUUAAUCGGAUUUACUGGGCGUAAAGCGUGCGUAGGCGGUCAUUUAAGUCAAAUGUGAAAUCCCCGAGCUUAACUUGGGAAUUGCAUUCGAUACUGGAUGGCUAGAGUAUGGGAGAGGAUGGUAGAAUUCCAGGUGUAGCGGUGAAAUGCGUAGAGAUCUGGAGGAAUACCGAUGGCGAAGGCAGCCAUCUGGCCUAAUACUGACGCUGAGGUACGAAAGCAUGGGGAGCAAACAGGAUUAGAUACCCUGGUAGUCCAUGCCGUAAACGAUGUCUACUAGCCGUUGGGGCCUUUGAGGCUUUAGUGGCGCAGCUAACGCGAUAAGUAGACCGCCUGGGGAGUACGGCCGCAAGGUUAAAACUCAAAUGAAUUGACGG